This 407-nucleotide ribosomal RNA is filed under the name uncultured prokaryote. RNAcentral's name for it is "bacterial SSU rRNA". It matches the Rfam family "Bacterial small subunit ribosomal RNA", at positions 355 to 776 of the family's 1533-position model. The record is from RNAcentral. RNAcentral also lists the same sequence under 1 other name.
UGGGGAAUAUUGGGCAAUGGGGGAAACCCUGACCCAGCAACGCCGCGUGAGGGAAGAAGGUUUUCGGAUUGUAAACCUCUGUCCUUGGUGAAGAAAGAGAUGACGGUAGCCAAGGAGGAAGCCCCGGCUAACUACGUGCCAGCAGCCGCGGUAAUACGUAGGGGGCGAGCGUUGUCCGGAAUGAUUGGGCGUAAAGGGCGCGUAGGCGGCCUGUUAAGUCUGGAGUGAAAUUCCUGCUUUCAAGGUAGGAAGUGCUUUGGAAACUGGCGGGCUGGAGUGCAGGAGAGGUUAGCGGAAUUCCCGGUGUAGCGGUGAAAUGCGUAGAGAUUGGGAGGAACACCAGUGGCGAAGGCGACUUACUGGGCCGUAACUGACGCUGAGGCGCGAAAGCGUGGGGAGCGAACAGG